UACGGGGGGGGCAAGCGUUGUUCGGAAUUACUGGGCGUAAAGGGCUCGUAGGCGGCCAACUAAGUCAGACGUGAAAUCCCUCGGCUUAACCGGGGAACUGCGUCUGAUACUGGAUGGCUAGAGUUUGGGAGAAGGAUGCGGAAUUCCAGGUGUAGCGGUGAAAUGCGUAGAUAUCUGGAGGAACACCGGUGGCGAAGGCGGCAUCCUGGACCAACACUGACGCUGAGGAGCGAAAGCCAGGGGAGCAAACGGG
Molecule: ribosomal RNA, 253 nt
Filed under: uncultured bacterium
Lineage: Bacteria
Description: partial 16S ribosomal RNA
Rfam family: Bacterial small subunit ribosomal RNA
Source: RNAcentral